AGAGUUUGAUCCUGGCUCAGAACGAACGUUAGCGGCGCGCUUAACACAUGCAAGUCGAGCGAGAAAGAGGGCAACCUCCGGUAAAGCGGCGCACGGGUGAGUAACACGUAGGUAACCUACCCCCAGGUGGUGGAUAACCUCCCGAAAGGGGGGCUAAUACAGCAUAAGACCACGUCUUCGAAAGAAGGUGAGGUCAAAGUCGGCCUCUAUUCAUAAGCUGACGCCAGGGGACGGGCCUGCGGCCCAUCAGGUAGUUGGUAGGGUAACGGCCUACCAAGCCUAAGACGGGUAGCUGGUCUGAGAGGAUGAUCAGCCACACUGGAACUGAGACACGGUCCAGACUCCUACGGGAGGCAGCAGUGGGGAAUCUUGCGCAAUGGGCGAAAGCCUGACGCAGCGACGCCGCGUGAGUGAUGAAGGCCUUCGGGUUGUAAAGCUCUGUGGGGGGAGACGAAUAAGUCGUGGCCAACAUCCACGAUGAUGACGGUAUCCCCUUAGCAAGCACCGGCUAACUCUGUGCCAGCAGCCGCGGUAAUACAGAGGGUGCAAACGUUGUUCGGAAUUACUGGGCGUAAAGCGCGUGUAGGCGGUCCUGUAGGUCAGGUGUGAAAUCCCCCGGCUCAACCGAGGAAGUGCACUUGAAACCCCAGGACUUGAGUGUCGGAGAGGAAGGCGGAAUUGUCGGUGUAGAGGUGAAAUUCGUAGAUAUCGACAGGAACACCUGCGGCGAAAGCGGCCUUCUGGACGAACACUGACGCUGAGA
Molecule: ribosomal RNA, 763 nt
Filed under: uncultured bacterium
Lineage: Bacteria
Description: bacterial SSU rRNA
Rfam family: Bacterial small subunit ribosomal RNA
Source: RNAcentral